RNAcentral lists this long non-coding RNA (318 nucleotides) under Brassica napus (rape). Its description in RNAcentral is "long non-coding RNA (BNAP_LNC014998)". Lineage: Eukaryota; Viridiplantae; Streptophyta; Magnoliopsida; Brassicales; Brassicaceae. The record is from RNAcentral.
GGCGAUACACGUGGCGAUCUCUCAUUGGCCGGGAAGAAGACUUGGAGUCCAAGCUACUGAGCUUCUAGAAGCUGAAACUUAACUUGCAAGGGAGUAAAGACUUGGUGAUCAAGCUAUCAACAUUUUUGGGGAAAACUUGCCAUGGAAGUUUGGUGUGUGGGACACAUGUCCUUAUCUUUCCAUGCACAUAAGCCACUUGUCCAAGCCAGCCUCAGCCCUCCAGUUUCUAUAAAUACCAGACCCCUCCCCUUCAUUUUUCCAUCCCAAAACCGUGAGACCACCCUAGAGAGUGAGAGGUGAGUUUAGAGAGAGAAACCG